This 899-nucleotide ribosomal RNA is filed under the name uncultured bacterium. RNAcentral describes it as "bacterial SSU rRNA". It matches the Rfam family "Bacterial small subunit ribosomal RNA", at positions 1 to 895 of the family's 1533-position model. The record is from RNAcentral.
UUAGAGUUUGAUCCUGGCUCAGGAUGAACGCUAGCUACAGGCUUAACACAUGCAAGUCGAGGGGAAACGACAUCGAAAGCUUGCUUUUGAUGGGCGUCGACCGGCGCACGGGUGAGUAACGCGUAUCCAACCUGCCCACCACUUGGGGAUAACCUUGCGAAAGUAAGACUAAUACCCAAUGACGUCUCUAGAGGACAUCUGAAAGAGAUUAAAGAUUUAUCGGUGAUGGAUGGGGAUGCGUCUGAUUAGCUUGUUGGCGGGGUAACGGCCCACCAAGGCUACGAUCAGUAGGGGUUCUGAGAGGAAGGUCCCCCACAUUGGAACUGAGACACGGUCCAAACUCCUACGGGAGGCAGCAGUGAGGAAUAUUGGUCAAUGGACGAGAGUCUGAACCAGCCAAGUAGCGUGCAGGAUGACGGCCCUAUGGGUUGUAAACUGCUUUUAUAAGGGAAUAAAGUGAGUCUCGUGAGACUUUUUGCAUGUACCUUAUGAAUAAGGACCGGCUAAUUCCGUGCCAGCAGCCGCGGUAAUACGGAAGGUCCGGGCGUUAUCCGGAUUUAUUGGGUUUAAAGGGAGCGUAGGCCGGAGAUUAAGCGUGUUGUGAAAUGUAGAUGCUCAACAUCUGCACUGCAGCGCGAACUGGUUUCCUUGAGUACGCACAAAGUGGGCGGAAUUCGUGGUGUAGCGGUGAAAUGCUUAGAUAUCACGAAGAACUCCGAUUGCGAAGGCAGCUCACUGGAGCGCAACUGACGCUGAAGCUCGAAAGUGCGGGUAUCGAACAGGAUUAGAUACCCUGGUAGUCCGCACGGUAAACGAUGGAUGCCCGCUGUUGGUCUGAAUAGGUCAGCGGCCAAGCGAAAGCAUUAAGCAUCCCACCUGGGGAGUACGCCGGCAACGGU